CGUCCUUUAUCUUUUUGUAAAUCUGUAAAUGGUUACAAAUUAAGAAAUGGGAAGCUUUCUUAUACUACUGCAAGAGAAAUUCUGUUAUCUACUUUAACAUCUAUUGGAUUAGACAAAAAGUAUUUUGGUUUACAUAGUUUGAGGUCCGGAGGCGCCACUGCUGCUGCAAACGCGCAUGUGGAAGAUCGAAUCUUCAAAAAAC
This 202-nucleotide long non-coding RNA is filed under the name Mytilus galloprovincialis (Mediterranean mussel). Lineage: Eukaryota; Metazoa; Mollusca; Bivalvia; Mytilida; Mytilidae. The record is from RNAcentral.